CUUGACCAUCUUUUCUUUGCUUGCCCAUUUUCUGAGCAUGUUUGGCAAGCUUUGCAUGUGAAAUGUAACCUGUCUUGGGUUCAAUGAAGAUGGCCAAAUGCUCUUUCUUGGAUAGAGCAGUUUCAUGGGAGGUCAUUGCGUUCUACUUUUAUUCGUUUGAUGUUUGCGGCUUCGAUUUAUGCUAUUUGGCGUGAGCGUAAUGCUAGGACCCAUGGUGAGGCUCCUAAACAUGAGUCCGCUGUUAUUCUGGACAUUGUUUUUACUAUUUGUGCACGAGUGGAUUUAUGUAAGGGUUUGGCUCUAUCUAAUGAAAAUAGAUGGUUCCAAUGUUCAUAGGAUUUUUUUGUAGAUAUUUUCUCUUGUCAUGGCUAGGCAAAAAUCUCGGAUCUUGUUGUUGGUGCUAGGAAGGCAUAUAUUCCUAGCCUUGUUUCCUAGGGUAUGCCCCUGUGAUCUUAUACUUUAUUUUCACGCUUUGGAUAUA
This 481-nucleotide long non-coding RNA is filed under the name Olea europaea subsp. europaea. The record is from RNAcentral. Lineage: Eukaryota; Viridiplantae; Streptophyta; Magnoliopsida; Lamiales; Oleaceae.